This is a long non-coding RNA of Folsomia candida, 3401 nucleotides long. RefSeq lists it as uncharacterized. The record is from RefSeq and is a predicted model, not a curated record. The transcript is spliced from 5 exons. Lineage: Eukaryota; Metazoa; Arthropoda; Collembola; Entomobryomorpha; Isotomidae.
UCUGGUAAGUAGACACUUACGGUACCCGGGUUUUUACUGCUACCGCAAUUUAGCAGUAACAGUAAAAACCCGGGUACUGUAACUCUGCAUAAGAACGCAGAGGACCACACCGCCGAAACCACCAUCACCACCGACUAAACUGAUGGCGGCGAAGACGCUGGCGCUGCUACCUAGUCGCUGGGACCGACGCCACGGGCUGAGGCGAUGUCGUGGGCCGCGCCAGCGCCCUCGCUGUCGUCGUGGUCACAAUAAAACCUCCUCCGCCACUACCACUACCCAGCCAUCACGAAAACAAUAAUAAUACCAAUAAAAACGACGACAAAUAAUAAUAAAUAUGUAAUGCAGGUACUCACGAGUCAAUCAGGAAUCAGUCUUUUAAAUUAUUAUUAUCAAUAAAAUUGUUCCCACCAUAGUCAUCACCAAAACAAUAAUAAAUAUGUAUGUACAUACUACUCCACAUAGUUUUGUGUAAUUCAGGGAUGGACGUUUACUUUUCACUAAAUUUCUAGCAGCCAAAUAUUUAAUUAUUAUUUUCAAAAAAAUUGUAAACACCACCACAGCCAUACCACAACCACCACCACAAAUAAUAUGACGACGACGACCACGACGACAGAUUACCGUCCGAGUCACCACCACCACAAAUAAUAAUAGUACGACGACGACAAGGAAGAUUAAAGACUCAACCUCAACGAAAUGACAACGAACUAGAGAAAUACUUUAACUUUUGUAUUAACAUUAGUGACAAUGGUUCACAGGAAGAGAGUCGACAGAGUUGUACAAAUGAGGAUUCUGAAUUCUCAGACACAGUGAAUUCAGUGAACAGUGAGUUCAGUGAAUCGAGUUUCUCAAUGCAAGAUGACCACGACCACGACGAUGACCACGACGACAGAUUACUGGUCGAGUCACCACCACCACAAAUAAUAAUACGACCACGAUAAUAAUAAUAAAUAUGUAUGUAUGAACUUGUGUAAUAAUUUAAAAACAAAUUGUACACACACCCAGUCGUGGUCAAAUCGUUGAUAGUGAAAAGGAUGAGUGAUGAAAAAAUAUCCCGAAAAAGUCACCCGGUGAAAUCUCAUCUUCAUCAACUUAUGAAAUUCGCGCACGGGGUUACCUGCUUUUGUGUAAAAAUAAAAAAGAGAAAGGUAACCGGUAAAAGACCACGUUUUUCCCUCACAUUUUGUGACGCUUGGUUUUUUAACGGAAAAAAUCAUAAAAUAUUGUGCAGCUUGCAGUCUUGUGGUGUUUAUUUGUAAAGUGGACUACUUUCUUAGUUAAUUGGUGACUCUUAAAUAGUUUUAAUAGACAAAAACUCGUGCAAAAAGGUGAUCAAUACUCAAAAUACUUGAAACGGGUGUCAAUAUGUGAAAAAAUUUGAAGAAAAAACUGCUCAAAACUUGAAAUUCUUUUAAUACGUGACAAAAAACUUGCAGAAAAAGUGGUCAAAACUCGAAAUUCUUUUAAUACGUGACAAAAACUACUAGAAAAAAGUGUUCAAAACUUGAAAAUCUUUUAAUACGUGACAAAAAACUUGCAGAAAAAGUGGUCAAAACUCGACAUAUUUUUCAAUACGUGAAAAAUAUUGUCUAAAAAGCGAACAAUACUCGUUAUAGUUGACAAAAACUUGAACAAUUCUUUCAAAAAAGUGAAUAAAAAGUGCAACCUUGUUCUUACAUAAAUCUUGGAUAUCAUGGCUGGGUCAAAUAAAAAGAUUCAGUGAUAACACCACCGCACUACCCAGCAAAAACACCAACCGACGGAAAGAGUGUGCAGAAAAAUCAUGGUUAGUUUAUGGAAGUACUGGGAUUUCAGGAACACUGUGUAAUAUUAUUCUAUUAUUCAGACAAGGGGUUCUUAUCAACGGUAGCACCACCACCACUUUCUUCUGUUCGACUUCCGGUACAACCAAUCUCGGCACCAGGCCAACCAACCUACACCCCACAACCACCACCUAAAUUUUCCUACAAUUUAACAGUACCUCGAUCAAAAUCAUCACUUUCCCCCUCGCCAAAAAUAUUGACAACUCCACCAACCAUUCCAACUCAGCGGCCUUUUACUAAUUAUUCCGGAGAAAGCGGGCACGCAAUCACGACUACUACACGUGUCCCAGACUUCUGCAUGAGAAUGGGUUGACUACUAACACAACGAUUGACUCACCAAAACUUUCCCACAACCGGUCGACUUCCGCACUUUCUCCCAGCCCCACACUAGCAACACUACUGACACAACUGUUACCAACGUCAUCAGUCACACAACAACCUCCCCCUACUUUCUCCCCCUUGGUUACUACCACGACGACUACUACUACUGAACGCUUAUCUACAAAUCUCCCAGAACACGUGGCACGAGUGGAAAUGAAUACAGUGGAGCCUGUCUUACUCACAGAAGCGACAACGUUUAAUUUUGGACUGGAGAAAAUUUUAAAACUAUUCCCACAACACCACCAGGAAUGCUUCGUGGUAAUAAUUAUUCAUAAUAAUGACACACCACGUGAAAAGACUGCGGUAGUAAACUAAUUCACAUCAUGAGUGGUAUUAGACCAAACAAGACUUUUGAGACUUUGUUAGAUGUCAUGUUAUGUCCACAGUGUGUGAAUGAUCAAGGAAUGUUUCCCAUAAAAAAAUGUACAAUGGGUUGUUUACCUUACCCAUUGCGCCCCAGUGAUUUUUAUUUCAACAAAUAUGUGUGGCUACUCCGAUUUAAACUGAUAAAGGACUGCAAACGCAAAAGUCAGUGUGUAUGCAAAAUUUGUAUGUGGAAGGUCAAGAAUCCUACAAUAAACUUUAAAAGUACAGAUUUCAUCCCGUGGGAACAUAAAUAUGCAGAGUUCAACCACCGACUUGUGUGUCGAGGGUGUUGCAAACCUCAGAUUCCAGCUCCACCAAAGGAUUCUGAAGGAAGAUAUCUCUGGUGUGAUUGGCGAACUCGGUGUUCGUGUGAAGAAUGUUUGGAAAUAAUCUUGGAUCCUGACGAUUAUUUUUCUAACUGGUUGACUCAAGUUGGUGACGUGUGUUUCUCCUUUGAGGAAGCUAAUGCAAAGAAUCUGAUGUUACCACCACUGCCUAAAUAGUUUACUGUUAUUUUGAUGAUUGUAUUAGAUUUCGUGUUGAGUUUGUUGUAUGUGUACUAGUUAUAUUUUAUGAGGAUGUGUGCUUGUGUGUGUAUUUGGUUUUUGUAUGCAAAAUUAAAUAUUUAAAACUAUUUUAACAAUUUACUGAUGAGUACUUGUGGAGAUAUUCACUUUUCAUGUGUUGUGAUGUGAAAUAAAUAUUUAACCCCAGACAAAAAUUUACACAUUGUACAAAUUGGUUGUAUUUUUUAUCAUAUUUGCAUUGAUUACAUUUCUAUUUACAAUUUAAUUACAUGUAGACUGUUUCAUACAAUAUCUUUGUGCCGAACGG